UUAACUGACGCUAAAGCUCGAAAGUGCGGGUAUCGAACAGGAUUAGAUACCCUGGUAGUCCGCACGGUAAACGAUGGAUGCCCGCUGUUGGCGAUACAAUGUCAGCGGCCAAGCGAAAGCGUUAAGCAUCCCACCUGGGGAGUACGCCGGCAACGGUGAAACUCAAAGGAAUUGACGGGGGCCCGCACAAGCGGAGGAACAUGUGGUUUAAUUCGAUGAUACGCGAGGAACCUUACCCGGGCUUGAACUGCAGCUGAACGAUCCAGAGAUGGUGAGGCCCUUCGGGGCAGCUGUGGAGGUGCUGCAUGGUUGUCGUCAGCUCGUGCCGUGAGGUGUCGGCUUAAGUGCCAUAACGAGCGCAACCCUUUUCUCUAGUUGCCAUCAGGUUUUGCUGGGCACUCUGGAGACACUGCCACCGUAAGGUGUGAGGAAGGUGGGGAUGACGUCAAAUCAGCACGGCCCUUACGUCCGGGGCUACACACGUGUUACAAUGGGUGGUACAGAGAGUCAGCGGCCGGCAACGUCCGCUUAAUCAUGAAAUCCAUCCUCAGUUCGGAUUGGGGUCUGCAACCCGACCCCAUGAAGCUGGAUUCGCUAGUA
RNAcentral lists this ribosomal RNA (600 nucleotides) under uncultured bacterium. RNAcentral's name for it is "bacterial SSU rRNA". It matches the Rfam family "Bacterial small subunit ribosomal RNA", at positions 736 to 1340 of the family's 1533-position model. The record is from RNAcentral.